This 269-nucleotide long non-coding RNA is filed under the name Sorghum bicolor (sorghum). RNAcentral describes it as "long non-coding RNA (SBIC_LNC008195)". The record is from RNAcentral. Lineage: Eukaryota; Viridiplantae; Streptophyta; Magnoliopsida; Poales; Poaceae.
UCUUCUUUUUUUUUGUUGUUGUUGUUGCAUGGCAUGUCUUGUAAUCUGUGGAUCUGGGCUGUGUAAAACUUUAUGUGAUGACGCUGAAAGUCCAGUGUAUGUAUGCUGGCAAUUUUGGAUGUAUGCGAACCUUGUUGCUUGAAUGUUAAGUAAUAUGUUAGUGAUGUUGUGUGUGGAUGAUGAAUUGUUGUGCCUCUGUUUAUUGUGCGAAUUUAUUUCCUCAGUAAUUUCAGUGCGGCAUAAUUCUACACAUGUCUACCGUUGAUGGC